This 253-nucleotide ribosomal RNA is filed under the name uncultured bacterium. Its description in RNAcentral is "partial 16S ribosomal RNA". It matches the Rfam family "Bacterial small subunit ribosomal RNA", at positions 524 to 776 of the family's 1533-position model. The record is from RNAcentral.
UACGAAGGGGGCUAGCGUUGCUCGGAAUCACUGGGCGUAAAGCGCACGUAGGCGGCUUUCUAAGUCAGGGGUGAAAUCCUGGAGCUCAACUCCAGAACUGCCUUUGAUACUGGAGAGCUUGAGACCGGAAGAGGUGAGUGGAACUCCGAGUGUAGAGGUGAAAUUCGUAGAUAUUCGGAAGAACACCAGUGGCGAAGGCGGCUCACUGGUCCGGUACUGACGCUGAGGUGCGAAAGCGUGGGGAGCAAACAGG